RNAcentral lists this ribosomal RNA (421 nucleotides) under uncultured bacterium. RNAcentral describes it as "bacterial SSU rRNA". It matches the Rfam family "Bacterial small subunit ribosomal RNA", at positions 355 to 786 of the family's 1533-position model. The record is from RNAcentral.
UGGGGAAUAUUGCACAAUGGGGGAAACCCUGAUGCAGCGACGCCGCGUGAAGGAAGAAGUAUCUCGGUAUGUAAACUUCUAUCAGCAGGGAAGACAAUGACGGUACCUGACUAAGAAGCCCCGGCUAACUACGUGCCAGCAGCCGCGGUAAUACGUAGGGGGCAAGCGUUAUCCGGAUUUACUGGGUGUAAAGGGAGCGUAGACGGAGCAGCAAGUCUGAUGUGAAAAGGCGGGGGGCUCAACCCCCGGCAGCUCGCAUUGGAAAACUGUUUGAUCUUGAGUACCGGAGAGGUAAGCGGAAUUCCUAGUGUAGCGGUGAAAUGCGUAGAUAUUAGGAGGAACACCAGUGGCGAAGGCGGCUUACUGGACGGUAACUGACGUUGAGGCUCGAAAGCGUGGGGAGCAAACAGGAUUAGAUACC